RNAcentral lists this long non-coding RNA (2134 nucleotides) under Lonchura striata (white-rumped munia). Its description in RNAcentral is "domestica (Bengalese finch) lncRNA (ENSLSDG00000007403.1)". Lineage: Eukaryota; Metazoa; Chordata; Aves; Passeriformes; Estrildidae. The record is from RNAcentral.
GAUGGCACAGAUGGGCUGGGGGAUCUCAGGGUGGAUGGAGGUGAUCCAGAGAGGAGCAGCCCUGCUUGGGAACUAUCCUGGAUUUGGGGAGGCUCAUUCUGCUCUUCCCCGGGUGAAAUUUGUUUCCAGGCUGCAGGAAGUCGGCAAUGACACAAAGCCUGGGCUGGAAACAGCAUCAUUUACUCCUCCCAGGUUUGAGCUUUCUCAGGGCUGAGGCGUUUCAGGGGAUGUUGCACAACCACCUCCAGAACACCCUGACCGCGGCACCACCCCAAAGCCGGGCAGGGAUGCUCCCAGAGAGUCAAUGCUCCCUGGGCACAUGGAUCCAUCCCAGGGAUGCUCAUCCCACAGGCCUGAGCCCCUUUUCUUCCCUCUCCCAGCCUCCUGGCGAGGUGUUUCGGAGCAGGGAUGGGCCGGGGUUUCCGAGGAGGGGGAGGUUGUUGACACCCCGAGCCCGUUCCUGCGGAUGUGCCUCUUGCAGCACCUUCCUGCGGCUGCGCCUCCCUCCCGGGAGCUGCGGUUGGGGCGGGGGGUUUCCUGUCGUGCCAGUGCCACGAGGCCGGGACAACACCCGGGACAACACCCGGGACAACACCCAGGACAACACCCAACAGUCCCCGCAGCCCCAGCAGAGCCCCUCCGAGCAUCCUGGGGUGAUGCAGAGAGAAGCAGCCACACGCGAGGGCUGUGCAAAACCAUCAGGUCACAUCCUCACCCUCCUGCACCUCGUGUGCUAAAGCGUUUCCUCCCGGUGCUGAAGCAUCUCGGGGCACCCUGGCCCCCUCCCUGGCCAUGCCCACACCGUGCCCGCGGGGGUGGCAGCCCUGGCACCAGGUUCGCCGUCACUUCUCCUUUCGGAGCGACGCGAGCCCCGGCGCGCAGCUGCUCCGCGGGGCCGCCGGUGGGGCCGAGCCCUCCGAGGCAGCCCCUCUUUUUUGGGGUGCAGCCCACGUCCUGCCACCCUCCCCGGGGCUGCCCGCAGCCCCCAGCCCGCCGUGGCCCCGCUCUCGGCGUGACGCCCUUCCUCCCCCGCGGGCUCUGGAAACCGCAGCCGCUUUUCCGCGCUGCCUCCCUUCCCCGCCCGGCCGGAGGUGCCGGAGGAGGGUGGCCCACGACACCCCGCGGGUGCCGGUGCUGGGCUGGCUGCCCUCGCCCCCUGUGCCAGCCCUCGCCCGCGAGUCCUGCACUUGGGAUCCCACCGCGCUCCUCGGCACAGGUCCCAUGGCGCUGGGCCGGGCCGUGCUGGUGCUGCUGGUGCUGAGCCCCCUGUGGGUGUGUGGGGCUGAGCUGCUGGAGCCGAGGGUGCCCCAGGGCGGGCAGUGGGUCUGGGGGGAGGCCGAGCCCCUGCCCGUCUCCCGUGGGAAGAGGGAUGACAGUGGGCAGGAACCCAGUGCCACCACAAUGAUCAGCAGUGACAAGAGCGAUGUGCCACCACCAGCACCCGGCACCAACGCCAGCCUGCUCCGGGUGCCAGCCACAGCCGAUCCCAUGGAUGAUUCCCCCGAGCCUGAGCUGCUCCCGAGCUCUGCAGCACCAGCACCCAGCACCAACACCAGCCUGCUCCGGGUUCUUGUAGCGUCCACCACAGCCGAGUCUAUGGAUGAAACAGAUUCCCCUAAACCCGACUUACUGGAGGACUCUGCAGCACCAGCAGUGCCCAGUGCCAGCACCAGCCUGCUCCGGGUGUCUGUAGUGCCCACCACAGCUGAUCCCAUGGAUGAGACAGAUCCCCCUGAUCCCGACCUGCUCCCGAGCUCUGCCCCACCACCAGCACCCAGCACCAAGGCUAGCUGGGCACUUGUGGUGCCAACCACAGCUGAUCCCAUGGAUGAGACUGAUUCCCCUGCUCCCGAUCUGCUGCCAGGCUCAGAGCCUGGCACGCCAUCAGCAGCCCAAAAGAGCAUCACCACCACCACCCCCAGCUGGCUCACAACACCCAUCGAGGAGGACACAGUGACUGAUGACCUGGACGGCAGCUCCUCCACGGGGCCACGCUCCACAGCCGCCCCAGCCCUUGUGCUCAGCAGCACGGGCUACAAGAAACCCAAAAAAUCCGGAGCUCCGCCUGCACCGACCCUCCCGGCCGCCUUGGACACGACACCGGCGGCCACCGCGGUGCCCUGGGAGCCCAGCG